GAUGAACGCUGGCGGCGUGCCUAAUACAUGCAAGUCGAGCGAACAGACGAGGAGCUUGCUCCUCUGACGUUAGCGGCGGACGGGUGAGUAACACGUGGAUAACCUACCUAUAAGACUGGGAUAACUUCGGGAAACCGGAGCUAAUACCGGAUAAUAUAUUGAACCGCAUGGUUCAAUAGUGAAAGACGGUUUUGCUGUCACUUAUAGAUGGAUCCGCGCCGCAUUAGCUAGUUGGUAAGGUAACGGCUUACCAAGGCAACGAUGCGUAGCCGACCUGAGAGGGUGAUCGGCCACACUGGAACUGAGACACGGUCCAGACUCCUACGGGAGGCAGCAGUAGGGAAUCUUCCGCAAUGGGCGAAAGCCUGACGGAGCAACGCCGCGUGAGGGAUGAAGGUCCUCGGAUCGUAAAACUCUGUUAUUAGGGAAGAACAAAUGUGUAAGUAACUAUGCACGUCUUGACGGUACCUAAUCAGAAAGCCACGGCUAACUACGUG
Molecule: ribosomal RNA, 497 nt
Filed under: uncultured bacterium
Lineage: Bacteria
Description: partial 16S ribosomal RNA
Rfam family: Bacterial small subunit ribosomal RNA
Source: RNAcentral